AGCGGCAUCAUCGGCUCCUUCUUCCUAUAGCCGCAUGAAAAAAAGGCCGUCUCCGAAAAUGAUCGGAGACGGCCUUUUUUUUCAUCGCUUCAAUUUUUCGGAUGAGCCUUCAGCCACG
This 118-nucleotide small RNA is filed under the name Paenibacillus sp. P22. RNAcentral describes it as "Cyano-2 RNA". Lineage: Bacteria; Bacillati; Bacillota; Bacilli; Caryophanales; Paenibacillaceae. The record is from RNAcentral.